Molecule: ribosomal RNA, 861 nt
Filed under: Bacillus aerophilus
Lineage: Bacteria; Bacillati; Bacillota; Bacilli; Caryophanales; Bacillaceae
Description: bacterial SSU rRNA
Rfam family: Bacterial small subunit ribosomal RNA
Source: RNAcentral
GAAGGGAGCUUGCUCCCGGAUGUUAGCGGCGGACGGGUGAGUAACACGUGGGUAACCUGCCUGUAAGACUGGGAUAACUCCGGGAAACCGGAGCUAAUACCGGAUAGUUCCUUGAACCGCAUGGUUCAAGGAUGAAAGACGGUUUCGGCUGUCACUUACAGAUGGACCCGCGGCGCAUUAGCUAGUUGGUGAGGUAACGGCUCACCAAGGCGACGAUGCGUAGCCGACCUGAGAGGGUGAUCGGCCACACUGGGACUGAGACACGGCCCACACUCCUACGGGAGGCAGCAGUAGGGAAUCUUCCGCAAUGGACGAAAGUCUGACGGAGCAACGCCGCGUGAGUGAUGAAGGUUUUCGGAUCGUAAAGCUCUGUUGUUAGGGAAGAACAAGUGCAAGAGUAACUGCUUGCACCUUGACGGUACCUAACCAGAAAGCCACGGCUAACUACGUGCCAGCAGCCGCGGUAAUACGUAGGUGGCAAGCGUUGUCCGGAAUUAUUGGGCGUAAAGGGCUCGCAGGCGGUUUCUUAAGUCUGAUGUGAAAGCCCCCGGCUCAACCGGGGAGGGUCAUUGGAAACUGGGAAACUUGAGUGCAAAAGAGGAGAGUGGAAUUCCACGUGUAGCGGUGAAAUGCGUAUAGAUGUGGAGGAACACCAGUGGCGAAGGCGACUCUCUGGUCUGUAACUGACGCUGAGGAGCGAAAGCGUGGGGAGCGAACAGGAUUACAUACCCUGGUAGUCCACGCCGUAAACGAUGAGUGCUAAGUGUUAGGGGGUUUCCGCCCCUUAGUGCUGCAGCUAACGCAUUAAGCACUCCGCCUGGGGAGUACGGUCGCAAGACUGAAACUCAAGGAAUUGACGGG